GAGGUCCAGAGAAUAUAAGGAAGGUGAGACCAGGGACAAGUCCACUGUGAGCUCAGAAGUGAGAGAGCCUUGUGUUAUUCUUAAUCUUUUCCCCAGCUCACAAGAUGUGAUCAUGGAGUCCAGAGAGUUUAAGAAACCAGGGUCUUAUUAAAUUGCUGAAGCUGGCCUUGGGCUUGAGA
This is a long non-coding RNA of Urocitellus parryii (Arctic ground squirrel), 179 nucleotides long. RefSeq lists it as uncharacterized. The record is from RefSeq and is a predicted model, not a curated record. Lineage: Eukaryota; Metazoa; Chordata; Mammalia; Rodentia; Sciuridae.